UGCCCACUGAUAAAUUAUUUAAUGGCCGCAGUAUUUUAACUGUGCAAAGGUAGCAUAAUAAUUAGUUUUUUAAUUGAAAGCUUGUAUGAAUGAUUGGACGAGAUAUAAACUGUCUCAUAAAAAUUUUUUUAGAAUUUAAUUUUUUAGUAAAAAAGCUAAAAUAAAUUUAAAAGACGAGAAGACCCCAUAGAUCUUUAUAUUUUUUUUUAUAAUAAUUUUUUAGAUUUUUUUAUAAAUUAAUAAAUAAAAAUAUUUUGUUGGGGUGACAUUAAAAUUUAAUAAACUUUUAAAAUUUGAAGACAUUAAUUUAUGAAUUUAUGAUCCUUUAUUAUUGAUUAAAAAUUUAAGUUACCUUGGGGAUAACAGCGUAAUUAUUUUGGAGAGUUCAUAUCGAUAAAAUARAUUGCGACCUCGAUGUUGGAUUAARAUUAAUUUUGGGUGUARAAGUUCAAAAUAUUAAGUCUGUUCRACUUUUAAUUUCUUAC
This 485-nucleotide ribosomal RNA is filed under the name Campsicnemus hygrophilus. RNAcentral's name for it is "partial 16S ribosomal RNA". The stretch from base 359 to 485 matches the Rfam family "Bacterial large subunit ribosomal RNA", at positions 2473 to 2599 of the family's 2925-position model. Lineage: Eukaryota; Metazoa; Arthropoda; Insecta; Diptera; Dolichopodidae. The record is from RNAcentral.